Molecule: ribosomal RNA, 995 nt
Filed under: Chilomastix cuspidata
Lineage: Eukaryota; Fornicata; Retortamonadidae
Description: partial small subunit ribosomal RNA
Rfam family: Eukaryotic small subunit ribosomal RNA
Source: RNAcentral
AUACAUCUAUGGAUGGCAGCAGGCGCGUAAACUGCCCAAUCCUCAUUGAGGGAGGCGGUGACGAGCAGUAUCGAGGCGCGGCCCUACGGUUGCGCUUCUGAAAUGAAAGAUGCAUAGAACACACGACAGAAAGCGAGAAGAGGGCAAGUCUGGUGCCAGCAGCCGCGGUAAUUCCAGCUCUUCGAGCGUAUAUUAAAGUUGUUGCGUUUAAAACGCCCGUAGUUGGACUCCUCGGGUGGCGAGGUCCGGCCUCAGGGCGGCGGGAUCCGGCCGAUCAGUUUUCGCCUCGGUCUCCCCCUUUCCCCAGUCCCCCCGGGGCUGUGCGCGCGCGCGCUCGUCGUGUGCGUCGUGCGGUUCCCGAGGGGGCGUUUUGACGGGUUGGGGCGGGGGCCGGGGUGAACCGGCCGGGCUCAGUUCCGCCGCGUUGCAGCGCCCGGACGCCUUGGGAUUGUGCCGCCUCCGGCCCCCUCGCGGGGGCUGGGGACGCGGCCCCCUUGGUCUUAUGCUUGCGCCCGGUGGCGCGGUCUCGGGGUUGCGGGUCCCCCGCUUCCCCUUCCCCGCGCCAUGUUACCAUAAAGAAAUUGGAGUGUUUAAAGCAGGUCGCUUCGGCCCUUGCACAGUCCAGUAUGGAAUAAUAAAGCAGGACUUUCGUCCGUUUAUUGGCUUUCCGGACUGAAAAGUAAUGAUUAAUAGGGGCAGUUGGGGGCAUUAGUACUGGGGCGGGAGAGGUAAAAUUCUAUGAUCGCCCCAAGACUCACUAAAGCGAAAGCAUUUGCCAAGGAUGUUUUCAUUAAUCAAGGACGAUAGUUGGGGGAGAGAAGGAGAUCAGACACCUCCGUAUUCCCAACCAUAAACGAUGCCAUCUAGGGAUUGGGCGAGCCCAUAUUUCCUAGAACUCCCUCAGGACCUUGCGAGAAAUCAUAAGAAUUCAGGUUACGGGGGGAGUAUGGUCGCAAGGCAGAAACUUAAAGGAAUUGACGGAAGGGCACCACAAU